Long non-coding RNA from Choloepus didactylus (southern two-toed sloth), 3440 nucleotides. RefSeq lists it as uncharacterized. NCBI's taxonomy places the organism in Eukaryota, Metazoa, Chordata, Mammalia, Pilosa, Megalonychidae. The record is from RefSeq and is a predicted model, not a curated record. The transcript is spliced from 4 exons.
GGAAAUUGUGGAAAAGUUUUGAGCCUCAUGGCUUCUUUCUCCAUCCUCAGCUUUGGAUGCUUAGUGCUUGGACUGCCUGAGAGUGAAAAACUGGAGGAAGACUGUUGGCAGUAGAGCUAUUGACAAUGCAACCACUGGGUAUAAGCUCUGCAAAUUGGAAGUAGUUUCCCAGUUGGAACAAGGAGAGGAACUGUGGAGAGAAGGAUUAGGAUUUCUCUGAGGACAGAGUCCAGGAAUGGAAAAUGACCAUAAAAAGGAAGAAAUGAUAGCCAUGCAACAUAUCUGCAAGAAGGAGACCUCUUCCAUCCAGUCAAAACAGCAGAUUUCUUACACUGGAGAGGAUCACUUUGAAGAUAAUGAUUUGGGAUAUUUCAUUCACUUCACAUUGACUUACAAGGGAAAGACACCCUAUGAGGACAAACAAUUUUAAAAAAUUUCUAUUACCAUUCAUUCAUCAACAUAAGCAAAUUCAUACUGGACAUAAGUCAUAUGACUGUCAUCUAUGUGGAAAAGUCUUCAGAAGUAAUUCUGUCCUUAGAGAACGUGAGAAAAUGUACACUGGAGAGAAGACAUAUGGCUGCCAUCUAGAAGGGAAAGACUUCACUGAUGGUUCUAUCUGCAGACAACAUGUGAGAACUCACACUGGUGAGAAAACAGAUGUCUGUCAUGAAUGUGGGAAAGACUUCACUCAUAGUUCUAAACUCAGAUGACAUGAGAGAACACACACUGGAGAGAAACCAUAUGUCUGUCUUCUAUGUGGGAAAUCCUUCAGUCAAUGUGGUAACCUUAGGCAGCAUGAGAGAACUCACACUUUGGAGAAAUCAUUUAUCUGUAAUGUUUGUGGAAAAUCCUUCAGUCAACAUAUUCACCUUACACAACAUGAGAGAAGUCACACUGGGGAGAAAUCAUAUGUCUGCCACCUAUGUGGGAAAAACUUUAGAUAUACUUUUGCCAUUAGGAAACAUCAGAGAACUCAUUAAAAUGUGCAUUUGGAAGAGUCUUUAGCCACAGAUAUAAUCUUUUAAAAAAUGAAAUAAGUUACACACAAGUGUACUUCUCUGUCAAUGUAAUCAAUGUGUAAAUGUCUUUAUUUACAAUUUAUCCAUAAAUAACAUGAUUGGACUAUACUGGGAGGAACUCUAUGUCUGUAAUUACCUAUAAUACAUUUCAGAUGAGCUGCAGCCUUGGCACAUACAAGCACAGCUUAGAGUAAGAAUAGCUUCUAAACCAGGAAACUGGAUGGAAAUGUCUUUACCAGGAGGAGGAAACACUAGGAGGACAAGAGAUAACUUUUUAUGGAGUAUUCAAUGAAAAAAAUAUGCAAAAUCCUUUACUUAGAGAGCAACAUGUUAUUGGUCUUGAUCUUCCUCUGUUUUAGUUCAUCUAAAUAUAUAUUUCUUUUGAACUCAGAUAUUGACUACCAUGAAUACUCAACCUUCUUUCAAAUUGAAUAAUAUAAUAUAUAUUCUUUUAUAGCUGACUUUUUGAUCACCAUCUGUAAAUCAGGCUAUUCAUUGUGUGUUUAUGGAACAUUGUUAGGAGUGUUCCAUCAGAUGUAUUGUUCUUAUUUCAGAUAUUCAUUCUCCUAAUAAUUGACUUUUUGUUUGUUACAAUGUUUUAGCUGCUAUGAAAAAUAUACUUCCUUUAAAAUUUCUAUAUCCAAGUUUCAUGGACCUAGACACUCAUUAUUCUCAAGCAUGCAAAAGAAAAAUUGCUGGAUCAAAAAUAGCUGCAUGUAACCAGAAGACUGUGUGAUGAUGGCAGAAUGGGGAGCUCAAAGACUCAAUCCUUCCAUUAUAAAAUCUAAUAAACAGGCAGGAACCAUCUAACACAGCUAUUUUGGAUCUACAGGGAUCAGAAGAGCACUGUACAGCAUCCAGGAGAAGGAGGAAGUGGCUGACAAAUUUUAGUAAAGAAAAGAAAAUUGCUCUCCCCUAAAAGUGACUACUGGUACACUUAUCCCACUCUUGCUGCAUACCACCAUGGGGUCCAACCUCUAGCUAGAUUGCUGGUGACAGGGACACAAAAAUUCUCUUCCCCAAGACCAAGGAAAUGCAUGACAAAGAAAUGAUCACAGCUUUUGACUGAUGACUUUGGAUUGCUGGAGCACAGUACUAAGGGUGGCCACUGUCACAAACCACAUUUACAAAGGCAAUGGUAGCAGCCAUUAUUUCAACCAACUCUGGGAGUCAGAUGUCAGUUGAAGACACUACCCUUCCUCAGGGCUGCAGGAUACAGUUAGAUGAAGGGAUGCAUUUUCUGGGCAGGUCAAUAGAGCUCAGCUUUCAGGACAGUGAAGGAAGAUUUUUAUGCCCUUCCUGACUCCCUAACCAGGGCAUUUUGGACCUAGUCUGCACACCCUACAUGGGACAGUGUCCCUGUUUCUGCAGAAAAGAUUGACAAGAAAGUCCUCCCCAAUGUACCCCUCAACCCAGCUGCAAUAGCAGGUUGAGGCAGUGAAAGGCAUGUAAGAGCUAUAUAGCCAGAUAUUAAGAAGCAGUGGCUUGUGAACUUCAAAUACCUAGAAGCAGGAUGUCUCCAUUCUGGGAAACAGAGUGUACAAACUCCUGAAAACAAGGGGACUACAAAAUAACUAACAAGUAAAGCACAGGACAAGACACAGUCACAGAAAUAUAAGGAAAACCAUGCACACUGCAUUCAUCUCUGCAGGCAUUCCUGAUAAGAGGAUCAAUGCGCAAGAAAAUCUGUCUUAUUACCAGUUGGUUACAAAAUCAAGAAACAGACACCUCAGGGUACAAACACCAGAAUUAACAUGUUACAAUAUAAAGUGUGAAACAAGACUACAAGACAAAGAAACAGGAAUUGAUGGUCCCUCCAAAGGAAAAGGAUAAAAUUUCAGAAGCCAACAAUGAAGAGGGCCAGAAUGUGGACAUUCCAAAUGAAACCUUUAAAUGAUCUUAAAGUACUCAAGGAGAUGAAAGGAAAAUACAACUAAAGGUUGCAGGAAAGCAAUGAUUAAGCAAUAUGAGAAUCUUAGUAAAGAUACAGAUUUUGAAAGGUACCAACCAAACAAAAGUACUGGAGCUGAAGAUGAUAAUAAGUGAAAUAUUUUCCAGAAGAGUUUCCAGGGAAGAUUAGUACUGGAAGAAGAAAGAAUCAGUGAAAAGAAAAACAAGAUAUUGAAAUAAAUCAGGCAGAGGAGCAAACAUAAGAAAAAAUUAUAGAAUUGGACAAUUACUUAACAGAUCAUGGAGACACCUUUAAGGGUACCAAUAUAUGAAUCAUAGGAGUCCCAAAAGGAGAAAAAAGAAAGGGGCAGAAUUAAUAUUCAGAGAAAUAAUGACAGAGAACUUCCCAAGUUGAGCAAAAGAUGUGAAUAUACACAUCCAAGAAUCUCAGAGGACACCAAUCAUGAGAAUCAUGAUGAGAAAUACACACACUCAUUUACUGAUCAAUAUAUUAUUGAAUGCAAAGGACAA